Non-coding RNA from Anas platyrhynchos (mallard), 950 nucleotides. Lineage: Eukaryota; Metazoa; Chordata; Aves; Anseriformes; Anatidae. The record is from RefSeq and is a predicted model, not a curated record.
CUUAGAAGGAGUAUCAGCAUGUUUCUUCUUGAUCUGAUGAGCUUUCACUACAGCAGCUUUGUGCUUUGGAUCAGAGAGGGUAAGUCAUAAUCCCCACCACCACCAUCUACCAGCAGAAGUGUAGAAGUGCAUAAUCAUAUCAGCAUCCUGACUUGAAGCAGCAAAGAAAAGGAAAUACUUUAAAAAGUAGUUCUGUUUCUUUGUAUUACCGUGUAAUUAGUUCAGAACUAACAAAACACAUCACAAAAGGAAAAAUCCAUGAAAAUGGAAAAUACAAAAAUCUAUGAAGUGCAGUUUUAACUGUCACACACAAUGUUGUACGAAUAGCACUCCUCUGAUUACCGCUAAAUGCAGUUCAAAAAUACUCAGAUGCAGUUGUCCAGUGAUGAGGUAGCUGGCAAAUAUUAGUAGAAGCUUGAUGCAUAACAACAUCUUUUUGUUGUGUUUUUGUUUUUUUUUUUCCAUUUGGGGGGGGGCUGUUGUUGUUCGUACCUAUUGUAAAAUACCAACGAGGGGAAAUAAAAGUAUGAUACUUGCUGAUAAAUGGCUUCUAGUUUGAGAAGUAGAAUAGAAUAUCCUUGGCAGAAAUGAGUCAAAGGUUUGAACAUUGUACUAAACUAAUUUUGUAUAGGUAAAGUCGUCAGAAAGGUGAUACCUUAAAUUCCAAAUGUCUUUAUUUUACUACUACACUUCCAUUUUACUAUUUCAUUCACUACAUUUUACUUCAUGUAUUGAAUUUCUUUACUACUUCAUUUACUAUAUUUUACUAUGUAUUUCAUUUUGCUACUACAAUUACUACUAUUCCACUACUAUUGGUACACUGGGCAAGCUUUUUUAUGUUUCUGUAGACCAUGUUAUGGAUCUAAUAAGAGAAACUGAAUAAGCAGAGGACUGCUUUUUCCUAGUAAUUUGUACAAUAAAAGCAAAAUGCAUUUCUAUUUUAAAUAAUA